RNAcentral lists this ribosomal RNA (301 nucleotides) under uncultured bacterium. RNAcentral describes it as "partial 16S ribosomal RNA". It matches the Rfam family "Bacterial small subunit ribosomal RNA", at positions 509 to 807 of the family's 1533-position model. The record is from RNAcentral.
CAGUCGCCGCGGUAAUACGAAGGGUGCAAGCGUUAAUCGGAAUUACUGGGCGUAAAGCGCGCGUAGGUGGUUUGGUAAGAUGGAUGUGAAAUCCCCGGGCUCAACCUGGGAACUGCAUCCAUAACUGCCUGACUAGAGUACGGUAGAGGGUGGUGGAAUUUCCUGUGUAGCGGUGAAAUGCGUAGAUAUAGGAAGGAACACCAGUGGCGAAGGCGACCACCUGGACUGAUACUGACACUGAGGUGCGAAAGCGUGGGGAGCAAACAGGAUUAGAUACCCGCGUAGUCCCUGUCUCUUAUAC